Molecule: ribosomal RNA, 1323 nt
Filed under: uncultured archaeon
Lineage: Archaea
Description: 16S ribosomal RNA
Rfam family: Archaeal small subunit ribosomal RNA
Source: RNAcentral
GGACCCCACUGCUAUCGGGGUGGGACUAAGCCAUGCGAGUUGGCGCCCUCAGCCGACGGGGAGGGCGCGGCGGACGGCUCCGUAACACGUAGCCAACCUACCCUCAGGACGGGAAUAACCCCGGGAAACUGGGGCUAAUUCCCGAUAGGUGAGGAGGCCUGGAAUGGUUCCUCACCGAAAGGGCGCCGGAACCGUGCUUCCGACGCCGCCUGAGGAUGGGGCUGCGGCCGAUCAGGUAGUUGGUGGGGUAACGGCCCACCAAGCCUAUAACCGGUACGGGCCGUGAGAGCGGGAGCCCGGAGAUGGGUACUGAGACAAGGACCCAGGCCCUACGGGGCGCAGCAGGCGCGAAAACUCCGCAAUGCGCGCAAGCGUGACGGGGCUAUCCCGAGUGCCGCCCGCUAAGGGUGGCUUUUCCCCAGUGUAAGUAGCUGGGGGAAUAAGGGGAGGGCAAGUCGGGUGUCAGCCGCCGCGGUAAUACCCGCUCCCCGAGCGGUGGGGACGAUUAUUGGGCUUAAAGCGUCCGUAGCCGGCCUAAUAAGUCUCCCGUUAAAUCCAACGGCCUAACCGUUGGACUGCGGGAGAUACUAUUAGGCUAGGGGGCGGGAGAGGCCGGCGGUAUUCCCGGGGUAGGGGUGAAAUCCUAUAAUCCCGGGAGGACCACCAGUGGCGAAGGCGGCCGGCCAGAACGCGCCCGACGGUGAGGGACGAAAGCUGGGGGGGCAAACGGGAUUAGAUACCCGGGUAGUCCCAGCUGUAAACGAUGCAGGCUAGGUGUCGGGUGGGCUUAUGCUCACCCGUGCCGAGCGAAAGCGUUAAGCCUGCCGCCUGGGGAGUACGGUCGCAAGGCUGAAACUUAAAGGAAUUGGCGGGGGGGCACCACAAGGGGUGAAUGCUGCGGUUUAAUUGGAGUCAACCCCGAGAACCUUACCGGGGGCGACAGCAGGAUGAAGGCCAGGCUGACGACCUUGCCAGACGAGCUGAGAGGAGGUGCAUGGCCGUCGCCAGUUCGUGCCGUGAGGUGUCCGGUUAAGUCCGGCAACGAACAAGACCCGCGCCCCCUGUUGCUACCGGCCUCUGCGCCGGGCACACUGGGGGGACUGCCGCCGAUAAGGCGGAGGAAGGAGCGGGCCACGGCAGGUCAGUAUGCCCCGAAUCCCCCGGGCCACACGCGAGCUGCAAUGGCAGGACAAUGGGUUCCGACCCCGAAAGGGGAGGCAAUCCCUAAACCCUGCCGUAGUUGGGAUCGAGGGCUGCAACCCGCCCUCGUGACAUGGAAUCCCUAGUAUCGCGCGUCACCGCGCGGUGAAUACGUCCCUGCUC